This 348-nucleotide ribosomal RNA is filed under the name Triticum aestivum (bread wheat). RNAcentral's name for it is "partial small subunit ribosomal RNA". Lineage: Eukaryota; Viridiplantae; Streptophyta; Magnoliopsida; Poales; Poaceae. The record is from RNAcentral.
GUUGAGGUAUAUGAUCUUACUUGUGAAUUGAAGAUUAUGAGAUUCACUUUGCCAGAUGGCAUACUGUUUGCUACAUAGAUUUUUGGACAUGUCAGAGAAGUUGAUUGUUAUUCAAAUAUCUUCAUUGCUUAUCGCAUCUUAUUUGCUGUGUGUGAUGGUAGUCUCGGCAGAAAGAAGUUCUCAAAGCUGAAAUUGUUGAAGAAUUAUUUGAGGUCAACAGUGACUUAUGAGAGGUUAAAUGGUUUGGGUACAUUAUGCAUCGAGAAGAAAUUAUUGGAUGAGAUUGUCAUCGACCCCAUCGUAAGUGAUAUUGCAUCGAUGAAUGUUACAAGAGAAUUUUCAAGGUGA